This is a long non-coding RNA of Tachysurus fulvidraco (yellow catfish), 135 nucleotides long. RefSeq lists it as uncharacterized. The transcript has 2 exons. The record is from RefSeq and is a predicted model, not a curated record. Lineage: Eukaryota; Metazoa; Chordata; Actinopteri; Siluriformes; Bagridae.
GUAACUCGCUGGAAAAAAAUGUUUCUCGUGAAAUUAGCAUUCAUUGCUAAUUAAUCCUAGGCAGUUAUGAUCUUGCUGAGGAAGCGGUCCUGCGGCGCCGCAAGCCUCCUUCCCGUCUGUCAAUGAGGCCUGAAG